Sinocyclocheilus anshuiensis is the source of this 1678-nucleotide long non-coding RNA. Ensembl lists it as uncharacterized. The record is from Ensembl. Lineage: Eukaryota; Metazoa; Chordata; Actinopteri; Cypriniformes; Cyprinidae.
UUUCUCCGGAAGUCCUCACUGAGUGCAAAGAGUUGAACCUGGCUGCAUAAGUUCAAAAGAAACUGGUUUAUUUUUGUGGAAAACCUCCGCGUGAAUUAAAAUUGUGGUCUUUGGUGUGAAGACAUUAAUGUACCGCUUAUACUUCGAGCCAAGUGACCUGUUUUAGGUUCAAACUCUUCUGAGUGUCUUGCAUGGAGAACAUUGUGGUUUACAUUCCCAAGGAAGCAUGUGUCAAAAACAUGCCUCUGCAGUCUCUGUCCAGCUCCACAGCCAGGAAGAUCAGUGUUGCUCUGUUUCCGCAUGGAUCAGAGAAACAGAUGCCCCAGACAGUGACGUGGAUCUGUCCGGUUGAGCUGCGGGAAAAAGAAGUGGCUGUGGGCAAGGACCGCAGAGAACCGGUCCCACUGAGCCAGAGGCCACUGCUCUCCAAAAUAGCUCCAGGCCAAUUUUCACUGCCUGUUGUGAGUUCCAGCAUCACUGCCUUUAAGGUCUUAAGAAAAAUUUUAAAAGCACAUAAGCCUAAAAUACAAUUUUCAGGGCUGGAAAAUGAUGCUGCCUCUCUGCCCAGCAUCAGGGGAUCUGUUCGGCAAAAUGCUAUUAUUGUGUAUAAUGGCCAGAUCUUCCUCUCAGUGAGGAAGUCACAUUGCAGGCGAGUGAGAUUACAAAACUCUCCCUCAGCACCUUCAGGUGUGUGUCCUGUUUCUCCUAGUAAACAGAACCAAAUAAAUACACCUAGAUGUCAGGCGCAACCGCUUCUGGACACUUCACCCAGACCACAACAGAGCAAGAGACAGGAUGUUCAGACUCCAGUCAGAGAUCUUGACAUUAACAUACAGAUUUCACCACUUCUGCACAAAGUCUCUGAAGAAAUGCCUGAGCAAUGCUGUACAGACAAAGAGUGUCAAAAGGAAGAUGAGUCCAGGUCACUGAGUAGCCCACCCAAACCUCCUGAGGAUCUGGAGUCUGAACAGCCUGAAGCAGCAGCAGGAGGAGAAAGAGAGACGCAUGAGGAUGACAAUGAGCGUUUAGAGGGCGCAUUGCUCCCCAGGGCUGAGAGCUGUCUUGCAUUUGAUUUUGAACAGUUGGCCCAGGAGGAGAGAAUCAACCACCUACGAACUCGGCUGAGGCAGAAGGAAGCCGCGCUCAGCAUCUUUAAUGCAAAGCCAACGGAUCAGAUUUAGAGGAGCAGACUGCGCCAAAGAUGUCUGUUCAGGAGGUAUACAAGUUCCUAGUGCAUCAUUUUAUGUGAACAGCAUAAAGGAAGAGUUUACCCAAAAAUGAAAAUUUGGUCAUCAUUUACUCACCCUCAAGUUGUUCCAAAUCUGUAUCAAUUUCUUUCUUCUGCUGAACACAAAAGAAGAUAAUUUUGAAGAAUGUGGGUAGUUGCUGGUCCCCGUUGGCCUACAUAGUAUACGAGCCACUGUGUGGUUACCCACAUUCUUCAAAAGAUCUUCUUUUGUGUUCAUCAGACAAGAAAGACAUUCAUAAAGGGUUGGGACAUCUUGAGGGUGAGUAAAUGAUGACAAAAUUUUCAUUUUUUAGGUGAACUAUCGCUUUAAGAUGAGUAGGUUUGUUAAUUCAAUUGUUUAUAAUUUAAUAGCACAAACAUUGUCAUUUAAAUAAAAUAUUUAUGCCAAAGCAGAGAUUUAUGAACAUAAUGUGUUUGUGCAAUAAAUAC